UACGUAGGGUGCGAGCGUUAAUCGGAAUUACUGGGCGUAAAGCGUGCGCAGGCGGUGAGCUGUGUCCGAUGUGAAAGCCCCGGGCUUAACCUGGGAAUGGCAUUGGAAACUGGCUCGCUGGAGUGUGGCAGAGGGGGGUGGAAUUCCGCGUGUAGCAGUGAAAUGCGUAGAGAUGCGGAGGAACACCGAUGGCGAAGGCAGCCCCCUGGGCCAAUACUGACGCUCAUGCACGAAAGCGUGGGGAGCAAACAGG
Molecule: ribosomal RNA, 253 nt
Filed under: uncultured bacterium
Lineage: Bacteria
Description: partial 16S ribosomal RNA
Rfam family: Bacterial small subunit ribosomal RNA
Source: RNAcentral